GCCAGAGGAGGCAAGCGUUAUCCGGAAUCACUGGGCGUAAAGCGUCUGUAGGUGGUGAUGCAAGUCACUGGUGCAAAACUCUGGCUCAACCGGAGGAAAGCCAGUGAAACUGCAUGACUAGAGUGUGGGAGAGGUAGAAGGAAUUCCCUGAGUAGCGGUGAAAUGCGUAGAUACAGGGAAGAACACCGGAGGCGAAAGCGUUCUACUGGAACACAACUGACACUGAGAGACGAAAGCUAGGGGAGAGAAUGGG
RNAcentral lists this ribosomal RNA (253 nucleotides) under uncultured bacterium. RNAcentral's name for it is "partial 16S ribosomal RNA". It matches the Rfam family "Bacterial small subunit ribosomal RNA", at positions 524 to 776 of the family's 1533-position model. The record is from RNAcentral.